RNAcentral lists this transfer RNA (58 nucleotides) under Apaloderma vittatum (bar-tailed trogon). It matches the Rfam family "tRNA", at positions 8 to 63 of the family's 71-position model. From Rfam's summary of the family: Transfer RNA (tRNA) molecules are approximately 80 nucleotides in length. Lineage: Eukaryota; Metazoa; Chordata; Aves; Trogoniformes; Trogonidae. The record is from Rfam by way of RNAcentral.
UAGCUCAGCUGGUUGAGUGUGGUGCUGGUAACACCAAGGUUGCGGGUUCGAUCCCCAU